UGGCUCAGAGGUUAAAGCGUCUGCCUCCAAUGCAGAAGACCCAGGUUUGAUCCCUGG
RNAcentral lists this transfer RNA (57 nucleotides) under Ovis aries (sheep). It matches the Rfam family "tRNA", at positions 8 to 63 of the family's 71-position model. Rfam says of the family: Transfer RNA (tRNA) molecules are approximately 80 nucleotides in length. Lineage: Eukaryota; Metazoa; Chordata; Mammalia; Artiodactyla; Bovidae. The record is from Rfam by way of RNAcentral.